CAGUCGCCGCGGGAAUACGAAGGGGGCUAGCGUUGUUCGGAAUUACUGGGCGUAAAGCGCACGUAGGCGGAUAUUUAAGUCAGGGGUGAAAUCCCAGAGCUCAACUCUGGAACUGCCUUUGAUACUGGGUAUCUUGAGUAUGGAAGAGGUGGGUGGAAUUCCGAGUGUAGAGGUGAAAUUCGUAGAUAUUCGGAGGAACACCAGUGGCGAAGGCGGCUCACUGGUCCAUUACUGACGCUGAGGUGCGAAAGCGUGGGGAGCAAACAGGAUUAGAUACCCCUGUAGUCCCUGUCUCUUAUAC
This 301-nucleotide ribosomal RNA is filed under the name uncultured bacterium. RNAcentral's name for it is "partial 16S ribosomal RNA". It matches the Rfam family "Bacterial small subunit ribosomal RNA", at positions 509 to 807 of the family's 1533-position model. The record is from RNAcentral.